This 90-nucleotide transfer RNA is filed under the name Thermoclostridium caenicola. Its description in RNAcentral is "tRNA-Ser". It matches the Rfam family "tRNA". From Rfam's summary of the family: Transfer RNA (tRNA) molecules are approximately 80 nucleotides in length. Their secondary structure includes four short double-helical elements and three loops (D, anti-codon, and T loops). Lineage: Bacteria; Bacillati; Bacillota; Clostridia; Eubacteriales; Oscillospiraceae. The record is from RNAcentral. RNAcentral also lists the same sequence under 3 other names.
GGAGGGUUGUCCGAGUGGUCGAAGGAGCUGGUCUCGAAAACCAGUAUACCAUUUUUGGUAUCUAGGGUUCGAAUCCCUAACCCUCCGCCA